CAGGAAGGAGAACUUCAGCUCCAGGGCGUUCCCAAGCAGAGCUGGGCUGGGCAGGGGGCUUCCUGCAGCUUUCGCAUCUUCCACCCUGUCCUGGGGCAGGUGAGGCUGCAGUGCUUUAGCCAGGGCUCUCCGUUUUUUGGAGGGUACUAGGCAAGCAUGUAUCACUGAGCCACACCUACAGCCCUCCCCACCCUACCUCCUUUUUAAAAUAUAAAAUCCUGAGACAGGAUUUUAAGUCUGAGGCAGGGUCCUGCCAGGCUGAGUUUGAACUUGUGAUGCCUGCCUCAGCCUCUUGAGUAUCUUGGAUUACUGGCAUGUAGACCUGCAGACCCUCUCAUCUGCUGCAUUCUGGCCCCUGGCUUGCCAUUCCCAGGGGAGGUGGACAGGGAAAGAGGUUGGAAUCUGGUAGAACAUGUGGGGCCCCGUGUGGAAAACGUGGACAAUAGGAGAGGAAGCCACCUCGAGCCAUGCUCCCCGGGCAGGUGGCACAGGCCCGGAGACUCAGCACAGGGGCUGCCUCCCCAGAAGGAGUUUAGGAAGGAACCUGGCGUUACCUGAUGUGAACGACUUGAAGAGUCGGACGUUGCCCUGGGCGAGGAUUCUGUAGUAGGACCAGCUCAAGUACAGCACCAGGGGCACCCAGAUGAUGGGGACACUGUACCUGCAGGAGGACCACCCAGCUGGCACCAUCCGGAGACAGGGACAGCCCAGCCCAGGCUGCGGGACUCACCAGACUGUCUUGGACAGGGACUCGAGGAGGUCGGAGUGGAAGAGGCGGAUGGGCCUGCUCACCGGCUGGUGGACCCACUCGUGGUACUUCUCCCCCAGCUGGCCCACCUGCCACAGCAGAGGCUUCUUCCAG
Non-coding RNA from Heterocephalus glaber (naked mole-rat), 862 nucleotides. NCBI's taxonomy places the organism in Eukaryota, Metazoa, Chordata, Mammalia, Rodentia, Bathyergidae. The record is from RefSeq and is a predicted model, not a curated record.